Molecule: ribosomal RNA, 510 nt
Filed under: uncultured bacterium
Lineage: Bacteria
Description: partial 16S ribosomal RNA
Rfam family: Bacterial small subunit ribosomal RNA
Source: RNAcentral
GACGAACGCUGGCGGCGUGCUUAACACAUGCAAGUCGAACGAAGAGCGAUGGAAGCUUGCUUCUAUCAAUCUUAGUGGCGAACGGGUGAGUAACGCGUAAUCAACCUGCCCUUCAGAGGGGGACAACAGUUGGAAACGACUGCUAAUACCGCAUACGAUCUAAUCUCGGAAUCGAGGAUAGAUGAAAGGUGGCCUCUACAUGUAAGCUAUCACUGAAGGAGGGGAUUGCGUCUGAUUAGCUAGUUGGAGGGGUAACGGCCCACCAAGGCGAUGAUCAGUAGCCGGUCUGAGAGGAUGAACGGCCACAUUGGGACUGAGACACGGCCCAGACUCCUACGGGAGGCAGCAGUGGGGAAUCUUCCGCAAUGGACGAAAGUCUGACGGAGCAACGCCGCGUGAGUGAUGACGGCCUUCGGGUUGUAAAGCUCUGUUAAUCGGGACGAAAGGCCUUCUUGCGAAUAGUGAGAAGGAUUGACGUUACCGGAAUAGAAAGCCACGGCUAACUACGUG